RNAcentral lists this ribosomal RNA (422 nucleotides) under uncultured bacterium. RNAcentral describes it as "bacterial SSU rRNA". It matches the Rfam family "Bacterial small subunit ribosomal RNA", at positions 360 to 773 of the family's 1533-position model. The record is from RNAcentral.
AAUCUUGCGCAAUGGGAGAAAUCCUGACGCAGCAACGCCGCGUGGGUGAUGAAGGUCUUCGGAUCGUAAAGCCCUGUCGGAGGGGAAGAUGCUUUCUGUCGCUAAUAUCGGCAGGAGGUGACGGUACCCUCAAAGGAAGCACCGGCUAACUUCGUGCCAGCAGCCGCGGUAAUACGAAGGGGGCUAGCGUUGUUCGGAAUUACUGGGCGUAAAGCGCGCGCAGGUGGUCUUUCAAGUCAGUGGUGAAAGCCCGGUGCUCAACUCCGGAAAUGCCAUUGAAACUGUAAGACUUGAGGAUGAGAGAGGUGAGUGGAAUUCCCAGUGUAGAGGUGAAAUUCGUAGAUAUUGGGAAGAACACCGGUGGCGAAGGCGGCUCACUGGCUCAUAUCUGACGCUCAGGCGCGACAGCGUGGGGAUCAAAC